AUGGGAUUGUUGCUCCUUGUGAUUUUCGCUGUAGCCGCUUUGGAAGGCGUCCGGUCCCAGGUGCAGCUGGUGGAGUCCGGAGGGGAUGUGAAAAAGCCCGGAGACUCUCUCCGCCUCUCCUGCAAAGCCUCCGGGUUCACCUUCAGCGGCGCCUACAUGAGCUGGGUCCGACAGGCUCCCGGGAAGGGGCUGGAGUGGUUGGCUCAGAUUAGACCCGAUGCAUCUAAUCAGUGGUACUCCCCGGCUGUUGAAGGCCGAUUCACCAUCUCCAGGGACAACUCCAACAACCUGCUGUAUCUGCAAUUGACCGGCCUGAAGCCCGAGGACACCGCCCGCUAUCACUGUGCGAGUGACACAGACCCUCUUCGCUUCACCGUGCUGGGAUUCUGCUCAGUGUCACCCUGUCAGUGA
Molecule: non-coding RNA, 411 nt
Organism: Mauremys mutica (yellowpond turtle)
Lineage: Eukaryota; Metazoa; Chordata; Testudines; Geoemydidae
Source: the annotation of a RefSeq genome assembly